AUUGAACGCUGGCGGCAGGCCUAACACAUGCAAGUCGGACGGUAGCACAGAGGAGCUUGCUCCUCGGGUGACGAGUGGCGGACGGGUGAGUAAUGUCUGGGGAUCUGCCCGAUAGAGAGGGCUAACCACUGGAAACGGUGGCUAAUACCGCAUAACGUCGCAAGACCAAAGAGGGGGACCUUCGGGCCUCUCACUAUCGGAUGAACCCAGAUGGGAUUAGCUAGUAGGCGGGGUAAUGGCCCACCUAGGCGACGAUCCCUAGCUGGUCUGAGAGGAUGACCAGCCACACUGGAACUGAGACACGGUCCAGACUCCUACGGGAGGCAGCAGUGGGGAAUAUUGCACAAUGGGCGCAAGCCUGAUGCAGCCAUGCCGCGUGUAUGAAGAAGGCCUUCGGGUUGUAAAGUACUUUCAGCGGGGAGGAAGGCGAUGUGGUUAAUAACCUUGUCGAUUGACGUUACCCGCAGAAGAAGCACCGGCUAACUCCGUGCCAGCCGCCGCGGUAA
Molecule: ribosomal RNA, 506 nt
Filed under: uncultured bacterium
Lineage: Bacteria
Description: partial 16S ribosomal RNA
Rfam family: Bacterial small subunit ribosomal RNA
Source: RNAcentral